GGAAUCUUCCACAAUGGGCGCAAGCCUGAUGGAGCAACACCGCGUGAGUGAAGAAGGGUUUCGGCUCGUAAAGCUCUGUUGUUAAAGAAGAACAUAUCUGAGAGUAACUGUUCAGGUAUUGACGGUAUUUAACCAGAAAGCCACGGCUAACUACGUGCAAG
Molecule: ribosomal RNA, 161 nt
Filed under: uncultured bacterium
Lineage: Bacteria
Description: partial 16S ribosomal RNA
Rfam family: Bacterial small subunit ribosomal RNA
Source: RNAcentral